AGUUUUAAUGAAAUAAAUAUAGAAAAAACAAAUUGAAAAAAUCGUAAAUAAGUUAUUUGAUAUAACUUUUAUAGAGGAUCGUAAAAUAUUAAUUAAAAUUUUACAAACAAUAUUAUUAGCAUUUUCACCACAAUAUAUAGAACAUUAUAAUAAAGAUAUAAUUAAUACAUUAAUAAAAAUAUUAUAUUCUAUUUAUUAUUCAUCCUUAUAUAACAAUAAUCAUAUUUUGCAUCAAACAUGUUGUGCUGCCUUUAAACAGCUACUUAAUUCAUUGAUUGAUGUAUGUAAUAAAGAAUGUGAAAUUAAUUUUUAUGAAAAAAAUAUUAUUGCCUCAAAUGAUGCUUCUUUUGAACACAAUGAGAUAAAAAAAAAGAAAAAAAAAAAAAUAGACGACAAUGACAACGGAAACGAUUCCAACCACAAUGACAAAUAUGAACAUAAACGAGAUAGUAAAUCUACUGAUAAAAUAUAUAUAGAUAAAAUCAGUUUUUAUUUUGAAAAUUAUAAUUUAUAUUAUAAUGUAAACAGUCCAGUAGACCUAAUUUAUAUAAAUAAAUAUAUUAAUGAGAAUAAAAUGCAAAAUAAAAAUAAACUUUUGUCAUUAAUUCAUUAUUUUUGUUAUUGUUGUUUUGUGAAUAUUCGAUCAGAAUAUUUCUCAGAACAUAUGUGUACUUACGCAAAUAUAACUCCAAAUAUCGAAACUUCUCAAAACUUAAAAGAUUCUACAAAUCAUAUUAAUAGUUGUGGCAAUGGUAACACAGGCGGUAAUAGCAACAUGAAUAUGCAAACUCACGUGCAAACAAAAAGUAAUAACAAUUCAAAUGGUACUAUAGCAAUAAAAAAAAAUAGUAAGAAAGACGGUUAUUUUGAUCAAUCAAAAAACAACAAUGGGCAUAUAGACCCAAAUGUAAACACACCUACAAACACAACUACAAACACAACUACAAACACAACUACAAACAUAACUACAAACAUAACUACAAACAUAAGUCUGGAUAAACAGAAACUUCCUAUUUCAAAUACUUCUACCCUUAUAGAUGAAAAAAACAGAAAACAACAAUUUUUUAAAUAAGGUCAAGGAUAAUAACAUUGCUCAUUGCUCAUCAGUGGAUGAUAUAUCAAACCAUCGAAAUUGCCAACAAAAUAGC
Piliocolobus tephrosceles (Ugandan red Colobus) is the source of this 1148-nucleotide long non-coding RNA. NCBI's taxonomy places the organism in Eukaryota, Metazoa, Chordata, Mammalia, Primates, Cercopithecidae. The record is from Ensembl.